UACGUAGGUGGCAAGCGUUAUCCGGAAUUAUUGGGCGUAAAGCGCGCGCAGGCGGUUUUGUAAGCCAGAUGUGAAAUCCCCGGGCUUAACUUGGGAACUGCAUUUGGGACUGCAAGGCUGGAGUACGGCAGAGGGAGGUGGAAUUCCACGUGUAGCAGUGAAAUGCGUAGAGAUGUGGAGGAACACCGAUGGCGAAGGCAGCCUCCUGGGCUAGUACUGACGCUCAUGCACGAAAGCGUGGGGAGCAAACAGG
RNAcentral lists this ribosomal RNA (253 nucleotides) under uncultured bacterium. RNAcentral's name for it is "partial 16S ribosomal RNA". It matches the Rfam family "Bacterial small subunit ribosomal RNA", at positions 524 to 776 of the family's 1533-position model. The record is from RNAcentral.